AAGGAUUGACGGACUGAAGGACUCUUUCUCGAUUCUGUGGAAAGUGGUGCAUGGCCGUUUUUGGUUGGUGGAUCGAUCCGUCUGGUUAAUUCCGUUAACGAACGAGACCUCGGCACUCCGAAUAGCGCGGCGGACGUCGCGGCCUCCGGGCCGUCUUCCGCGCGAGCUUCUUAGAGGGGACCGUCCCCCCGCCGGGGAAGGAGGUUCGAGGCAACGACAGGUCUGUGAUGCCCCUUAGAUGUUCUGGGCCGCACGCGCAUUACACUGACGCGUCCAACGGGCGACUCCCGGCCCGAAGGGGUCGGGGAAUCCGCAAGGCGCGUCGUGAUGGGGAUUGAACGUUGCAAUUGUUGUUCACGAACGAGGAAUUCCUAGUAGGCGCGGGUCAUCAACCCCGCGCCGAUUACGUCCCUGCCCUUUGUACACACCGCCCG
RNAcentral lists this ribosomal RNA (434 nucleotides) under uncultured eukaryote. RNAcentral's name for it is "bacterial SSU rRNA". It matches the Rfam family "Eukaryotic small subunit ribosomal RNA", at positions 1235 to 1675 of the family's 1831-position model. The record is from RNAcentral.